AUUGAACGCUGGCGGCAUGCUUUACACAUGCAAGUCGAACGGAUUUUGGAGCUUGCUCCAGAGUUAGUGGCGAACGGGUGAGUAAUAUAUCGGAACGUACCCGGCAAUGGGGGAUAACGUAGCGAAAGUUACGCUAAUACCGCAUAUGCCCUGAGGGGGAAAGCAGGGGACCAGUAAUGGCCUUGAGUUGUCGGAGCGGCCGAUAUCGGAUUAGCUAGUUGGUGAGGUAAAGGCUCACCAAGGCGACGAUCCGUAGCGGGUCUGAGAGGAUGAUCCGCCACACUGGGACUGAGACACGGCCCAGACUCCUACGGGAGGCAGCAGUGGGGAAUUUUGGACAAUGGGCGAAAGCCUGAUCCAGCCAUGCCGCGUGAGUGAAGAAGGCCUUCGGGUUGUAAAGCUCUUUCAGGUGGAAAGAAAAGGUUACGGAUAAUACCUGUAACUGAUGACGGUACCAUCAGAAGAAGCACCGGCUAACUACGUGCCAGCCGCCGCAGUAA
Molecule: ribosomal RNA, 500 nt
Filed under: uncultured bacterium
Lineage: Bacteria
Description: partial 16S ribosomal RNA
Rfam family: Bacterial small subunit ribosomal RNA
Source: RNAcentral